RNAcentral lists this ribosomal RNA (429 nucleotides) under uncultured bacterium. Its description in RNAcentral is "bacterial SSU rRNA". It matches the Rfam family "Bacterial small subunit ribosomal RNA", at positions 355 to 775 of the family's 1533-position model. The record is from RNAcentral.
UGAGGAAUCUUGCGCAAUGGGGGAAACCCUGACGCAGCAACGCCGCGUGAGUGAGGAAGGCCUUCGGGUCGUAAAGCUCUGUCAGAUGGGAAGAAAUGGGUGGGGGCUAAUAUCGUCCAUCCUUGACGGUACCAUCAGAGGAAGCACCGGCUAACUCCGUGCCAGCAGCCGCGGUAAUACGGGGGGUGCAAGCGUUGUUCGGAAUCAUUGGGCGUAAAGCGCGCGCAGGCGGCUUGGUAAGUCAGAUGUGAAAUCCCUGGGCUUAACCCAGGAAGUGCAUUUGAUACUGCCUCGCUAGAGUACGGGAGAGGAAAGUGGAAUUCCUGGUGUAGAGGUGAAAUUCGUAGAUAUCAGGAGGAACACCGGUGGCGAAGGCGACUUUCUGGCCCGAUACUGACGCUCAGGCGCGAAAGCGUGGGGAGCAAACAG